UCGCACGAAGGUUUCGGCCUUAGUGGCGGACGGGUGAGUAACGCGUAGGUAUCUAUCCAUGGGUGGGGGAUAACGGCGGGAAACUGCUGCUAAUACCGCAUGACACCUGAGGGUCAAAGGCGCAAGUCGCCUGUGGAGGAGCCUGCGUACGAUUAGCUUGUUGGUGGGGUAACUGCCUACCAAGGCUACGAUCGUUAGCUGGUCUGAGAGGAUGAUCAGCCACAUUGGGACUGAGACACGGCCCAAACUCCUACG
This 255-nucleotide ribosomal RNA is filed under the name uncultured Gluconacetobacter sp. Its description in RNAcentral is "partial 16S ribosomal RNA". It matches the Rfam family "Bacterial small subunit ribosomal RNA", at positions 62 to 343 of the family's 1533-position model. The record is from RNAcentral. Lineage: Bacteria; Pseudomonadati; Pseudomonadota; Alphaproteobacteria; Acetobacterales; Acetobacteraceae.